Molecule: non-coding RNA, 22 nt
Filed under: Mus musculus (house mouse)
Lineage: Eukaryota; Metazoa; Chordata; Mammalia; Rodentia; Muridae
Gene: mmu-miR-136-3p
Source: miRBase by way of RNAcentral
AUCAUCGUCUCAAAUGAGUCUU